UGAAACCAACAAUUGUAGAGAGGAAGUCAAAUGCAUAACUUCUACUUCUUGUACUUGUGGAAUCAGUUAAAGCUUGAGGGUUCAAUUUUGUUCUUGACCUCAAAUAGCUUAAAAGUACAUUAAAUUGUGAAUUUUCUAUGAACCAUUCAAAAAGACUUGGUGAUAUUUUGUGAUAAAAAUAUUAUAAAAUCAGACAUGAAGCUUGAUCAAAUAAAUGUAUUCAUGGAAGAGGCUCAGAGUUACUUAAGAGAUAUUAACUUGAUGAUAUUUUACAUUUAAUAAUUUAAGAAUAAAAUCACACAUUUAUGGGAAGAAACAUUAUCUUCCUUCCAAAGCUAAAAGGCUCCCAUCCAUCCAUCCAUUCAUUCAAACAUUCAUUCAGAAUUUAUUUAUCAUAGGCCUAUUAUAUGCCAGAAAGUCUUUUAGGAAUUGGGAAUAUAGAAAUAAGCAUAACAAACUCCUAUCUUUAUAUUUGAAGAUAUGUUACUUUUUAAUAAAGAGAGACAGAUAAUAUAAACUUAAAAAAUAUAGAAUAUGUCAGGUGAUGAUAAAUGCUAUGAAGGAAAACAAAGUAAGGAAGACAAAGAGUGAAAGGUAUUGGUAUUUUCUACAGAGUGGUCAGAAAAGGCCUCUCCAGGAAAAUAACAUUUGAGCAGAGGCUUUGAAAGGAGUGAGGGAAGAGUUAUGCAGAUAUCUGGGGGAAGACUGUUCCAGAGUGGUUGAGUCAGAGUGAGAGAAUGACAGUGGCAGGAGCUGAGGUUAGUGAGGCAGUGGGGGGUUAGCAAGUUGAAGGCAGAUAAUAUGGGGCUCUGUGGGCCAUCAUGAGGACUUCAGCUUUUACCUCGGCAUGAGAUGGGAAACCACUGGAGAAUCUAGAGGAGAAAGGGAUGAUCUGCCCUUCAACAGGAUCAUCCAGGCUACUCCGGUGAAUAUAGACCAUAUGAGGGCAAAGAUUGGAAGCUAGGUGAGCAGUUAGAAGGCUACUGCAAUAGCUAUGUGAGAGAGAUGAACUAGGAGAGUAGCAGUGGAGAUCUGAGAUACGGCAAAGUCUAGAUAUAACACAAAGGAAUAGCCGACAGAAUUUGCUUUUGGAUUGGCUGUAUUGUAGGAGAGAAAAAAUAGGGUGCAUUUUUGGGUUGAGCAAAGAGAAGAAUGAAGAUUCCUUGUACUGAGAUGGGGAAAACUGCAGGAGGAGUGGGUCUGAAAGAGGCAAGUUGGUUGCCAUGUUGUGAGCAGCCCCCUUGAAAGGCCCAUGUGAUGAUGAAUUGAAACCUCCUGUCAACAGCCAUGUGAGUGACCUAGGAAGCAGAUCCUGCAGCCCAGUCAUGCUUCAGAUGAGGCAUAUCUGAGGCACAGAGAGGUUAAGUUGGGGACUGAAGUGUGGCUCCAGAAUCUAAGUUUCUAACUGCCAUGCUAUGGUAAGUGAGAUUGGUAAGUGCACAUGAGGAACUCGUGAGCCUCAAAGUCAUUCAUCAAUGCAGCAUUCAAUGAUGGCUUACAUGAAGGUAUAGAGGUAGGCUCAUCACUUUUACCCAAACUCAAAAAACUGAAUUUUUAUUAAGAAAGAAGAAAGCAUGGAAGAUGGGCACCACCCUUCAUAAAUGGUCAUUUAAUUGGUUUUGGGUGCAUCCCAGGAAAUCAAAUUUCAAAAGCUCCCUAGGUGAUUCCAAUGUGCAGUUAGUGUUAACAAAUACUGUCGUAAGAAUUUUUCUUUUUAUAUUAAUUUAAAUAUCCAUUAAAAGAUAAGAACAGUUGAAACCACCUUUUCAAAAUGAUGACAGUAAGAUAAAUCUGAUAUAGUUGGCUCCAUCUUGCUUCUGACCUCCUUUGGUCAUUCCUGGAUGUAGGCCAAGGUAACUGUGGGAGGAAUUUAGUUUAUAGUUUAACUUUGAAGCAAGGAUGAUAAUAGUCUCUCCCUAAAACUACUCCCCUCCUUAUUCAGGGGCUGAAAAUACCUUUAUCAAACUAAUAAAAGGCCGCAAGAUUAGGAUUAUGGGAGGGGCCUGAGUUCUGCUAAAAUGUGGGCAUAGUUUUCAUAAUCCCUUUCUGCUCAGGAGUCAUGUGGCCAGAGGUCACAAUGUUUGUGACUUCCCCAAUUGCUCCUAUAGAUAACAUCACAUUGUGGAACCUAAGAUUGUUCUUUUGAGAUGUUUUUCAGACUGACCCCACUGGACUCAUGACUCAUGGACUCAGCUGGUCCUGUGGCCCUACCCAGAAGUGGACUCAGCACACGAGGACCAUUUCCCACACUCCUGUGAUUUCAUCCCCAAUUAUUCAGCAGUACCCUUUCCAUAGCCCCUUGCCCACCAAGUUGUCCAUAAAAACCCUAGCCUCUGAGCUUUUGGGGAGAUGGAGUUGAGUAAUAACUCCAUCUACUGCAUGGCUGGCCUUGUGUCAAUUAAACUUUUUUCUUUACUGCAAUAACAUGGUCUCAGUGAACUGAUUUUGUUCAUGCAGGAGGCAGGAAAAGCCCCUUGGGUGAUUACACAGUGGUUCUCAAAGUAUGGACCUCCAACCAGCAGCAUCAGCAGCAUCUGGAUACUUGCUAGAAAUGGAAAUUCUCUGGCCCUAUUCCAGGCCUUCCAAGUUGGAAACUUUGUGAUGGGGCCCAGCACUCUGUGUUUUAACAAGCCCUCUAGCCUUAAGGAAAACAACUCUGAGGACUUUUGUCACGGACUUGAAAUUCUCAUCUGUGCUUGGACAAGACUCUGAAACAUACCAACUGUGUAUUUUCCUGCCUUUGGUAAAUCUGGAGCUAUUAACUGAUUCUAAAGAACAUUUGACUUAAAAAGACUAUGGAAAGCCCAAAGAAUAAAGGGACACUUGUCACUGGAUUGAAGGCAUAUUCUAAUUUAGGACAAUGUCUUGAGAUCUUUAACUUAACUACAUUUGCAAAGACCCAAUUUCCAAGUAACUGGAACAUUCACUUCAGGCGUAAGAAUUUCAAUUCCCACACCUACGUUUUCCCCAAGCAAGAUUAGCAAGAUUAUUCCACAUACAGAGAAAUUCAUUACUAAGUCAGCUGCCCAACUUCUUUUUAAGAUAAUGAAGACCCCAGUGGAUUAUUAUUAGCAAAUGAAAACUGGAUAUCAAGAAGGGCAAAAUCUUCAACCUUAUCAGCAGAAAGAGUUUAUGUAAAAAUAUACCACAUAGAAUAACUAAAAAAAUAAGCAAGUGAUACCUUAUCUGAGCUCAAAAUAUCUGUUUCUUUGCAAAUGGAUAAAGGAUUUAUUAUAUUAUAGCACCUUGAGGACAGAGACUUUAUGUUUCUAACUACCCAUCCCAGCAUCAUCUAGUUCAUUCCUAUGCUGAACAGCCCCUAACACAUUGCCUAAAUAAAUACUAACAUUAUAUGUGUGCAAUGAAGUAUUCUUUUGCUAAAAGCAAAACUUUCAUAUGGUCUUACAAUAAGCCACUUGUAAGACUAGUUUUAAAUAAUUACUGAUACAAAUGCUGCCACUGCCCCCAAAGAAACCUGAAUAAAAUUAUGUUAGGCUGCACUAAUUUCAGUGUCAAGCUAUUUAACUCUGCUGAUAGUCAUUUUUUUAAAGAUCUUUUGAUCUUUAAAUUGAGAGAGUUGAACUAAAUAAUCUUUUAGAUAUCUUCUAGUUUAAUAUUCUAAGAUUCUAGUAAAUAUAUUGUGUUUGGUCAGGUGUGGUGGCUCAUGCCUGUAAUCCCAACAUUUUCAGAGGCUG
RNAcentral lists this long non-coding RNA (3695 nucleotides) under Homo sapiens (human). RNAcentral describes it as "HSALNT0139875". Lineage: Eukaryota; Metazoa; Chordata; Mammalia; Primates; Hominidae. The record is from RNAcentral.